CUUAAUUUGAAACAAUGUUGUUUGUUUGGGGGACAUCCAGAAAUUUCAGUUUUAAAUAAUGAUAUAUUAGCUGCAGGUGUAACAGUACCUAUGCAUUUAUUGCUUCACAGUCUAGCAGUGUUUGUGAGAAAAACUGGUGGAUCCUGCAGAUUAACUAUGGACAGCCAAAUAUUGAGUAAAGUGAUGUCUACAACAGCAUCAGCUAUGCCUGAUAUGGUGUUAAUUCACAUUGUGAAGGUUGGUACGUACCCAAUUGUGACUAAACCAAAAGAAAAAAAUCUGGAAACUGAAGUACCAAUACAUGAAAAGCGUUCUUUUGGUAUUGGGAGUGCCAGUUGUCUUUGUUUCAUGAACUACUUCUCCGUAAUAGCACGCAGCCAUCUUCAAGAGGUGAGAAUUUCACUUAGCGGCUUGAACAGAAGUGUUAUCUCAAGAUAAUAUAAUAUCUGGAGGCAUGUGGCUGCUACUGUUUG
This 473-nucleotide long non-coding RNA is filed under the name Pan troglodytes (chimpanzee). Its description in RNAcentral is "lncRNA (ENSPTRG00000053659.1)". The record is from RNAcentral. Lineage: Eukaryota; Metazoa; Chordata; Mammalia; Primates; Hominidae.